UACGUAGGGUGCGAGCGUUAAUCGGAAUUACUGGGCGUAAAGCGUGCGCAGGCGGCGCCGCAAGUCAGGCGUGAAAUCCCCGAGCUUAACUUGGGAAUGGCACUUGAAACUACGGUGCUGGAGUGUGGCAGAGGGAGGUGGAAUUCCACGUGUAGCGGUGAAAUGCGUAGAGAUGUGGAGGAACACCAGUGGCGAAGGCGGCUUUCUGGUCUGUAACUGACGCUGAGGCGCGAAAGCGUGGGGAGCAAACAGG
This 253-nucleotide ribosomal RNA is filed under the name uncultured bacterium. RNAcentral's name for it is "partial 16S ribosomal RNA". It matches the Rfam family "Bacterial small subunit ribosomal RNA", at positions 524 to 776 of the family's 1533-position model. The record is from RNAcentral.